Molecule: transfer RNA, 70 nt
Filed under: Pseudorimula sp. RSIO35641
Lineage: Eukaryota; Metazoa; Mollusca; Gastropoda; Lepetellida; Lepetodrilidae
Description: tRNA-Val
Source: RNAcentral
UGAAGUAUAGCAUAAUUAAUGUAUUCCGCUUACAUCGGAGAGAUGGUCAAGUUAAAUUGGCUUAUUUCAA